RNAcentral lists this long non-coding RNA (289 nucleotides) under Chrysemys picta bellii (western painted turtle). Its description in RNAcentral is "lncRNA (ENSCPBG00000026245.1)". The record is from RNAcentral. Lineage: Eukaryota; Metazoa; Chordata; Testudines; Emydidae.
AGGCUGCAUGGCAGGCAAUAUAAUUUGUCCUAGUUUAAUGUGGGGUAUUACAUUUUUUAUAGAACUCUGGCUGUGGCCUUCUGGAUAGCACCAACAUUUCAUAAGAAAAAAGGCACUGAAGCAAACAAGCUCUCCUGGCUAUUGCUCUUCAUCAUUUCCUAUGGGCAUGGAGUUUUGCUAGUAGAACAGAGUGUAUGAAAAGUCAAGCCAUGAAAACCACCUCAAUGCAAGAUAGCGCUUACCAGACACUCUGUGCACUUUCUGCUCAGAAGAAUCCCAUGAAAAAAAG